CCUACGGGGGGCAGCAGUGGGGAAUAUUGCACAAUGGGCGCAAGCCUGAUGCAGCCAUGCCGCGUGUGUGAAGAAGGCCUUCGGGUUGUAAAGCACUUUCAGCGGGGAGGAAGGCGUUAAGGUUAAUAACCUUGUCGAUUGACGUUACCCGCAGAAGAAGCACCGGCUAACUCCGUGCCAGCAGCCGCGGUAAUACGGAGGGUGCAAGCGUUAAUCGGAAUUACUGGGCGUAAAGCGCACGCAGGCGGUCUGUCAAGUCGGAUGUGAAAUCCCCGGGCUCAACCUGGGAACUGCAUUCGAGACCGGCAGGCUAGAGUCUUGUAGAGGGGGGUAGAAUUCCAGGUGUAGCGGUGAAAUGCGUAGAGAUCUGGAGGAAUACCGGUGGCGAAGGCGGCCCCCUGGACAAAGACUGACGCUCAGGUGCGAAAGCGUGGGGAGCAAACAGGAUUAGAUACCCGGGUAGUC
RNAcentral lists this ribosomal RNA (465 nucleotides) under uncultured Klebsiella sp. RNAcentral's name for it is "bacterial SSU rRNA". It matches the Rfam family "Bacterial small subunit ribosomal RNA", at positions 338 to 795 of the family's 1533-position model. Lineage: Bacteria; Pseudomonadati; Pseudomonadota; Gammaproteobacteria; Enterobacterales; Enterobacteriaceae. The record is from RNAcentral.